ACAAAGUUUUGGAGUCCAGUAGCCAGAUCAGCAAUGUUUUCUGCCAGAGGUAGCCACUCGUUACCCAGGUGGUUGAGCCCCUGAGCCUUGAGUGGUCUUCUGGUCUUAAGCAGAGAUGGGAGACUGGAACAGAAAGAUGAUAAUCGUAGUCAGGCAAGCCGAGGUCAGUGGGAAGGAGAAGCAGCAAAGUCAAAACAGUCCAAAUUCAGCAACAGGAAGGAGAAACAGGAAC
Non-coding RNA from Pelobates cultripes (western spadefoot toad), 232 nucleotides. NCBI's taxonomy places the organism in Eukaryota, Metazoa, Chordata, Amphibia, Anura, Pelobatidae. The record is from the annotation of a GenBank genome assembly.